RNAcentral lists this ribosomal RNA (434 nucleotides) under uncultured Nitrosospira sp. RNAcentral's name for it is "bacterial SSU rRNA". It matches the Rfam family "Bacterial small subunit ribosomal RNA", at positions 219 to 645 of the family's 1533-position model. The record is from RNAcentral. Lineage: Bacteria; Pseudomonadati; Pseudomonadota; Betaproteobacteria; Nitrosomonadales; Nitrosomonadaceae.
UUUUGGAGCGGCCGAUGUCUGAUUAGCUAGUUGGUGAGGUAAAGGCUUACCAAGGCGUCGAUCAGUAGCUGGUCUGAGAGGACGACCAGCCACACUGGGACUGAGACACGGCCCAGACUCCUACGGGAGGCAGCAGUGGGGAAUUUUGGACAAUGGGGGAAACCCUGAUCCAGCCAUGCCGCGUGAGUGAAGAAGGCCUUCGGGUUGUAAAGCUCUUUCAGCCGGAACGAAACGGUCACGGCUAAUACCUGUGACUACUGACGGUACCGGAAGAAGAAGCACCGGCUAACUACGUGCCAGCAGCCGCGGUAAUACGUAGGGUGCGAGCGUUAAUCGGAAUUACUGGGCGUAAAGCGUGCGCAGGCGGUUUUGUAAGUCAGAUGUGAAAUCCCCGGGCUUAACCUGGGAACUGCGUUUGAAACUACAAAGCUAGA